GUGAUGAUGCACAGAAAUACAACAAUACUAUCACGACUCAGGAUAUGACCCAGAUGAAAACACGGAAGGCGGAUAGUACAGUUCUCAGAUGAUUUAUUAGAAACACGAGGCAUGCAAAGGGCAGGCAGAGGUUCAUAAUCAGGUCAGAGUCAGACAGGUACAGGACAGCAGGAAGGCUCAGGGUCAGGGCAGGUAGAGGUUCGUAAUCAGGUCAGAGUCAGGCAGGUACAGGACAGCAGGAAGGCUCAGGGUCAGGGCAGGUAGAGGUUCGUAAUCAGGUCAGAGUCAGGCAGGUACAGGACAGCAGGAAGGCUCAGGGUCAGGGCAGGCAGAGGUUCGUAAUCAGGUCAGAGUCAGGCAGGUACAGGACAGCAGGAAGGCUCAGGGUCAGGGCAGGUAGAGGUUCGUAAUCAGGUCAGAGUCAGACAGGUACAGGACGGCAGGCAGAAUGGUCAGAACCGGGAAACAGAAUUAGCGCAACAGGAAGGCGGGAAAGAACCCUGGUAAGACAAGACGAACUGGCAACAGACAAACAAAAAUACACAGGGGAUAAUGGGGAAGAUGGGCGACACAGCACAAAGACAGGUGAAACAGAUCAGGGUGUGACACAAUACAUCACAAAACAACAAACAGGGUGUCUCAAUUCUGAACUGCAUUUUUGAAAUUCUUUUUGUUUUAUUAUAAACAUUUUAAUAUUUUUCAAGUGAUUUAGCAAUAUCAGAACUUGCAAUACUUGGUUACAUGACCUUAUGUGACCCAUCCCCCCUCUAACCAGGCAUUAUUAUGGCAUUUUUUUUGUUUAGGGGGUGUGUCACAAUAUCUAUCAAUUUAACCACUUUUUCACUAAAAUAUUUUUACCCAACCAUCCA
RNAcentral lists this long non-coding RNA (869 nucleotides) under Salmo salar (Atlantic salmon). RNAcentral's name for it is "lncRNA (ENSSSAG00000112891.1)". The record is from RNAcentral. Lineage: Eukaryota; Metazoa; Chordata; Actinopteri; Salmoniformes; Salmonidae.